UUUUAUUUUGUUUUGUUCUCAAAUGUGUAUUUGUCUGCAUGAUCAGAUCAUUUGGAGUUUUCGAGAUGGAUGAUUUCGUACCUCGGCGUAUGCACUUGAACAUCCAUCCACUUCAAAAUUCUUGUAUGUAUUCUCCUCUGAGUUAUGCUGCAUAUGUUUAUUGCUUUUUCCCAAGCUCCACACCUUUCCUUGGACAUGUUUGCAUCUGCAAGCAGGGUGUCGCUCUCAAGAAUCAUUUGUGUGUAUGUCUCCCAUGGCUUUUCUAGUGUGGUGUUGUUCAUGGUUUCAUUUUGUGUGUCCAUGCCACUAUGCAUUUCAUUGCAUUCAUCACUUGCUGAUUCUCCUUGUGAGUUACGUAUCUGUUCCAUCAUCAGGUCCAUGUAUCCCCCCUGCAUAAUCAUCAAGGCUCAAUCAAAUAUUCAUAUUAUAUUUUCUGUGAUAGGUGCAUAUUAUUUUGUGUGUGUGUAGGGUGGCUGGGGUUUUCGUGCAUUUUUUAUUACCUGGUUUGACACAUAUGGGAACGACAUUUGUGUGCACAUCUGACUGCUUGGUGAUUGUGUUGUUCCACUCUGAGUCAAAGAGGUUCCAGCCAUCUAUAUUUUUGUUUAUGCAUUCAUAAAAAUCACAAAAGUCAGUUUUCAAACAUGUGAAUAGAUUAUCUUUCUCAAUUGUAAUUUCUAGAAUUGAGAUAUAGCUACCUGACUACUUCCAAUUAUUCGCAAUAUAUACUGUUGAAAAUUGUUGAUUUCAUCUUGCGAGAAUAUGUUAUUUUCUCUGACAGUCUUGGUAGUGUCAUAUUCAUGAACCUGCAAAAGGGAAACAAAAUUAUGAUCAGUUGUUUUUUUUGCAUUGGCACAUAAAUUUAGGUGCCCAUGGCUUUGUUCUAUAUGAUGUUUUUUUGCAGCAAAGGCAGUAGAUCACUUUUUUGGGGUGAUGUAGGAGGAGCUUUUUUAAGAGGCCAUGCAUGUUAUGACUUUUUUUUGAAUUUGUUUUUGCAGACCUUGUUUAUGGACAUAUAGCUAGACGAAAUGCAGGUAUGUUACCGCUGCUUUUUUAUCUCUUAUCAUUGUCCUAUGCAAUUCAUUUUUUUGUUGUGGCAGCUGUUGUGCUCUAGUCAUCAAAUAAGAAGGCAUAGGUUGAGAAGAUCAUGGAGACCAAGCAAGUUUGGAGGCGGAGGCGUAGGGGCAAGUUCAUGUAAUAGGUUUGUUUUUUGUGUGGCAGAUCAUCAUUGGAUGGCUAAUGGAUAGUGUCAGGUUUCUCUCCAAUUGCAGAGGUAAUACAAUCAAAGGUUCAGGGUUAGCCAAAAGUUGAUGUAUAUAUCUAUCUUUUUUUGAAGUUCCUGUGUAAUUUAAGAUGUAUGUGUUUUGGCGAUUUUGCUUUUUUGGCAUCGUGGGGGAUUUUUAAUUGGAGUCUAAUUGGAGGAGGGGAUGACAAAUCUAAUAUGAGUUAUUUUUACUUUUCUGUCUGAUUCAUGUGUUUGUAGGUUAUUUUUACGUGGGUAGCACUGAUUGAAUGAGAGAAACAACAGUAAAAUGAGGGCGUGGGGCUCAGAUGUGAGUACCUUUUCAAUUUCUUUGCCUCCACUGUCUCCUCCCAUCUUUUUUUGUACUUUUUGUGCCCUUCUUUUCCUUGUAUCUUUUGAUUGCGUUUGCUCCUAGGGUUGGUUUUGGGGUUGCUGGCGGCUGGGGAGUAGGGGGAGUUGAUCGUGCUUUUUUUUCUGUGUAAAGGAUUUAGGGUUUUUUUGUGGCCUUUUGUUUUUGGACCACUUUUUGUGCCACUUUUUUCUGUUGGGGAGUAUUGGGUUUGUGUUUUUUGUGGACUACGUACUUUUUAGGCCCACUUUUUAUCCUUUUUAUUUUUUGUUUUUAGUACUUUGUUUUGGGGCCCUUUUUGUAUCUCUUGUUGAGCCUUUUUUAUAUCUUCUUUGUUGGGCUUUUGUUUUUUAUUCCAAAGGUUCAAUUUUUUGCAGGGGGCUGCUCACCGGUUAUUGCUACUCUCUCACACACAUCUGUUCUUGCCACUCUCUCUCUCUCACACACACACCAGUUGUUUGUCUUUCUGUCUGUGCUGACGUGGGGUUGUUGCCCCUGUUCUCUGUCGUGAUUCGUGAAGCUGGUGGCGAGGAUUGUUGUAUCGAAC
Molecule: long non-coding RNA, 2139 nt
Filed under: Zea mays
Lineage: Eukaryota; Viridiplantae; Streptophyta; Magnoliopsida; Poales; Poaceae
Description: long non-coding RNA (ZMAY_LNC001208)
Source: RNAcentral